AGAAGUUAAAUAGCACAUGACAUACUUUUCGGCUAACCAACCAUAUGGACUUAGAUAGCAGGUAAUGGAAGAUUCAGAUUAGAAUAAAAGAUUAAUCAGCAUUAUAUUCCUGCUAAUGUAGCUAUGGAUGAAAGAAUUAUCAAUUUGGAAUUAUGAGAAACUGCAGCUUGUAAAGACUAUGGGAAAGAACUUUCCAAUACCAUCUGUGGAGUAUACAUUCCGCUACAUUAUGGAAGCCUUGGCAUGUAAUCAGGAAGUCAAAAACUUGAGCCAUA
Molecule: long non-coding RNA, 275 nt
Organism: Solanum stenotomum
Lineage: Eukaryota; Viridiplantae; Streptophyta; Magnoliopsida; Solanales; Solanaceae
Exons: 3
Source: RefSeq, a predicted model, not a curated record